AACGCACAUUGCGCCCGCCAGUAUUCUGGCGGGCAUGCCUGUUCGAGCGUCAUUUCAACCCUCAAGCCCCAGCGGUUUGGUGUUGGGGACCGGCGAGUACAGAGGCUUUGGGGACUUGUCCCCCUUCCCUCGGCGCCGCCCCCGAAAUGAAUUGGCGGUCUCGUCGCGGCCUCCUCUGCGUAGUAGCACAACCUCGCAUCAGGAGCGCGGCGCGGCCACUGCCGUAAAACGCCCAACUUUUUUUUAAGAGUUGACCUCGAAUCAGGUAGGAAUACCCGCUGAACUUAA
Molecule: unclassified non-coding RNA, 288 nt
Filed under: uncultured Hypocreales
Lineage: Eukaryota; Fungi; Ascomycota; Sordariomycetes; Hypocreales
Also listed under: 1 other name
Description: sequence contains 5.8S rRNA gene, ITS2, 28S rRNA gene
Rfam family: 5.8S ribosomal RNA (bases 1-52)
Source: RNAcentral